RNAcentral lists this ribosomal RNA (387 nucleotides) under Chaetoceros sp. RNAcentral's name for it is "partial small subunit ribosomal RNA". It matches the Rfam family "Eukaryotic small subunit ribosomal RNA", at positions 582 to 975 of the family's 1831-position model. Lineage: Eukaryota; Bacillariophyta; Thalassiosirophyceae; Chaetocerotales; Chaetocerotaceae. The record is from RNAcentral.
AUUCCAGCUCCAAUAGCGUAUAUUUUAGUUGUUGCAGUUAAAAAGCUCGUAGUUGAAUUUCUGGUGGGAAGAUGCGGACGGCCUCAUGGCUUGUUCCAAGUCUUCCGGCCAUCCUUGGGUGGAGCUCGUCUGGCAUUAAGUUGUCGGGCGGGGGAUGCCCAUCGUUUACUGUGAAAAAAUUAAAGUGUUCAAAGCAGACUUAUGUCGUUGAAUAUAUUAGCAUGGAAUAAUAAGAUAGGACAGCAGUGCUAUUUUGUUGGUUUGCGCACCGUUGUAAUGAUGAAUAGGGACAGUUGUGGGUAUUUAUAUUCACUUGUAAGAGGUGAAAUUCUUAGAUUAAGGGAAGAUAAACUACUGCGAAAGCAUUUACCAAGGAUGUUUUCAUUA